RNAcentral lists this unclassified non-coding RNA (643 nucleotides) under Hevea brasiliensis (rubber tree). Lineage: Eukaryota; Viridiplantae; Streptophyta; Magnoliopsida; Malpighiales; Euphorbiaceae. The record is from RNAcentral.
AGACAAUGUCCACCAAAGCUAAGUCUAAACAAGAAAGCUGAAGGACUAACAGACUCCAUAUCCAUCGCUAAAACUGAAAUAAGCAGUCCAACCACCAAACAUAACUCUAGCCCUAGUAGUUUGGACGAUGCUCAAAGCUAAGGGGCUGCUGAUAGAAUGGCACCUGACCUACCUGAACACCAUGCCUGAAAUGGUCAUAGGGGUGAGCAUACAUCAUCAUCGCAGGGUUAGGCCAUUGCAUAAAGACAGCAUCCUUGGAAGCCUGAUUGGUUCCGAAAUCGCAGAAGGAAUUCAUAGUCAGAUGGUUGGACGGCAUGAAGCCCACAGAAGCAGGGCUCCUCGGCAGUUGACUCAUCUGAGGGAAGCCUGUCUCGUACUGCACAAACGGUGGCUGAAUAACAUUACACCCCCCUAAGAAAAUAGUCUGGCUCGGUGUAUGAGCUCUAACAUACCUGACAUAGUGCCGAUCAUAAUCUGGAUCAGUGCGGUCCUUUUCCCUAUCUCUAAAAAUUGCCACCCUGGAAGCACUUUCUUGCUCAUCCCCACUUGAACAAGAACUUCUGACAUCAGAUGGUGAACCUUCUGCAUCUGGAUUGGCAGAACCACUGAAGAUGCGCGCUCGUGCUUUAUCAUAAUCUUCCUU